RNAcentral lists this ribosomal RNA (492 nucleotides) under uncultured bacterium. RNAcentral's name for it is "partial 16S ribosomal RNA". It matches the Rfam family "Bacterial small subunit ribosomal RNA", at positions 29 to 507 of the family's 1533-position model. The record is from RNAcentral.
AGUGAACGCUGGCGGUAGGCCUAACACAUGCAAGUCGAACGGCAGCACAGUAAGAGCUUGCUCUUACGGGUGGCGAGUGGCGGACGGGUGAGGAAUACAUCGGAAUCUACUUUUUCGUGGGGGAUAACGUAGGGAAACUUACGCUAAUACCGCAUACGACCUACGGGUGAAAGCAGGGGAUCUUCGGACCUUGCGCGAUUGAAUAAGCCGAUGUCGGAUUAGCUAGUUGGCGGGGUAAAGGCCCACCAAGGCGACGAUCCGUAGCUGGUCUGAGAGGAUGAUCAGCCACACUGGAACUGAGACACGGUCCAGACUCCUACGGGAGGCAGCAGUGGGGAAUAUUGGACAAUGGGCGCAGGCCUGAUCCAGCCAUACCGCGUGGGUGAAGAAGGCCUUCGGGUUGUAAAGCCCUUUUGUUGGGAAAGAAAAGCAGCAGGUUAAUACCCCGCUGUUCUGACGGUACCCAAAGAAUAAGCACCGGCUAACUUCGUG